Molecule: long non-coding RNA, 253 nt
Filed under: Elaeis guineensis (African oil palm)
Lineage: Eukaryota; Viridiplantae; Streptophyta; Magnoliopsida; Arecales; Arecaceae
Description: long non-coding RNA (EGUI_LNC057419)
Source: RNAcentral
AGUGCAUCAAUAGAUAGGUUCAUAACCAAUUAUUUUUUCAAACAACUUCUAGCAAUUAGAUUUUGCCCCAAGCAUCCUUUCAACAGAUGUGUGGUGCCUCCACUGAAAAUCUUGAUUAGGUCCAACUAUUAACAUGGCAACACCAAGUGCAUCCAACAAACAGAUGUCCAAGCCCGAGUAUGGCUCGACCAACUGGAGCAUUGAUCUGAAGAUACAUCAUGAUGGUCAUAUGAUGGAUGAUAAUUCCAAUACA